GAAAGUGAUUGACUUUUGAAUAUUGAUUUUUAUAUCCUGCAACCUUGCUAUAAUCACUUAUUAAUUCCAGGAGUUUGUUUUUGUUGAUUCUUUUGGAUUUUCUGCAUAGGUGAUCAUAUCAUUUGCAAACAAAGACAGUUUUAUUUCUUCCUUCCUAAUCAGCAUACUAUUUAUUUCCUUGUCUUGUGUUAUUUCAUUAGCUAGACCUUCCCACAGGUCUAGCUUUGUUGAAAAGCAGUGCUGAAAAAUGAUAUCUUUGUUCCUGAUCUCAGCAGAAAAAUUUGUUUCUCAUGAGCAUUAUGUGAGCUUUAGGGUUUCUGUGAAUAUUCUUUAUCAAGUUUAUGAAGCUCCUCUUGAUUCCUAGCUUACUGAGAGUUUUUAUUGAAUGGGUUUUGGAUUUUGUCAAAUGCUUUCAUCUAUUGAUAUGAUUUUGUGAUUUUUCUCUUUUAGCCUGUCAAUGUGAUAGAUUACAUUAAUUGAUUUUCAUGGGUUGAACCAGCCUUGCAUAUCUGGAAUAAAUCCCACUUAGUUGUGAGGUGUUCGCUGUGACCAUUAGGAUGAAGAGGAAAGAGAUCAUCCCCUUUCUACUCCUACAUCCCCAAGUGAAGAGGACAUGGAGUACAGCCA
RNAcentral lists this long non-coding RNA (627 nucleotides) under Pan troglodytes (chimpanzee). Its description in RNAcentral is "long non-coding RNA NONPTRT012766". The record is from RNAcentral. Lineage: Eukaryota; Metazoa; Chordata; Mammalia; Primates; Hominidae.